This 74-nucleotide transfer RNA is filed under the name Actinoplanes italicus. Its description in RNAcentral is "tRNA-Arg". It matches the Rfam family "tRNA". Rfam says of the family: Transfer RNA (tRNA) molecules are approximately 80 nucleotides in length. Their secondary structure includes four short double-helical elements and three loops (D, anti-codon, and T loops). RNAcentral also lists the same sequence under 2 other names. The record is from RNAcentral. Lineage: Bacteria; Bacillati; Actinomycetota; Actinomycetes; Micromonosporales; Micromonosporaceae.
GUCUCCGUAGCUCAGCGGAUAGAGCACCGGAUUACGGAUCCGGGUGUCGGGAGUUCGAAUCUCUCCGGGGACGC